This 274-nucleotide ribosomal RNA is filed under the name uncultured bacterium. RNAcentral describes it as "partial 16S ribosomal RNA". It matches the Rfam family "Bacterial small subunit ribosomal RNA", at positions 523 to 796 of the family's 1533-position model. The record is from RNAcentral.
AUACGGAGGGUGCAAGCGUUAAUCGGAAUUACUGGGCGUAAAGGGCGCGUAGGCGGACUAUUAAGUUGGAUGUGAAAGCCCUGGGCUCAACCUGGGAAUGGCAUUCGAUACUGCAGAGCUAGAGUAUGGUAGAGGGAAGUGGAAUUUCCGGUGUAGCGGUGAAAUGCGUAGAUAUCGGAAGGAACACCAGUGGCGAAGGCGACUUCCUGGGCCAAUACUGACGCUGAGGUGCGAAAGCGUGGGGAGCAAACAGGAUUAGAAACCCCAGUAGUCC